Gallus gallus (chicken) is the source of this 3086-nucleotide long non-coding RNA. Lineage: Eukaryota; Metazoa; Chordata; Aves; Galliformes; Phasianidae. The record is from Ensembl.
AGUUGGUGGACACAUGGAUCUGGGCCAGUUGCUGUGUGGUUUCAGUAUAGCAGCAAUAAUUCAUAGGAAAUUUUGUACACAUAUUGAGAAACUGAAACAGUAAUUGACAGAUGUUUAGAUUUAAUAAAAAUUCUCUACUUCCUAUAUCCAAAUAUUAUUGCAAAAGUUUGCAAAUGUAAAGGAAAUUACUCUACAAAUGAAAGUUCACAGACAGCGUGAGCCUCUCUGUGAUGACACAAAAAUGACUAUAAAGAGAAUGAACAUAAGGAAACAAUAGCACAUUUCACUGUAAAUGUCAAGCAGUGUUAUUCUGAAAAAAUGUCAUAGUGAUAAUUAAGAUGAAAAAGGCUCCAACUAGAAAGUGCAGUGUGGUCACUUUCAAUUUAUCAAUCAAGGGAAGUCAUUUUUAUCACUCAUUACUACAAGAGACUCUGAACAUCUUUAGAGCAGCAUCUCUUUUAAAGAAAACCUACAUAGCUAUAAAAUAGCAAAAUAUUAAAAUUUGAUUUGUAGGAGCUGGAGCAAAAUGAAAUUUCUUUUAUAUUAACUUUAAAAAUAUGCUUGUACUUGGGAUCUCAUGCUAGAGGGCUGCUGGGUCACUGACAUGAGCUCCCUGUUACUGAAGGCAGACAUACUGUAUAAGUACAUUUAUUAAUCUUUAUCUUAGAAGGUGGUUAGAUUUUUGUCCUUCACUGCUCUCAAUGAAAAGUGGUUCUGGUGCUUGACUGUUCUGAUAGUUAGAAGCUGCUAAUUAGCAACAUAAAUUUAUUCAAGCUCACAUUAUGCUUUUUUCUUAUUUUGACAACUUUAUCCCUUAGCUGUGAUAGAUCUCCUCUUGCCUGACAUUUCAGGGUCUAAAUAAACAAUAUUGAUAUUCUGUCUCCUGUUCCUCUUAUCUAAGUAACCUGAGGCCUUUUAUUUUUGCUUUAUCUGAAUGGUUUUACAUUUCACUUUCAUUUUAGCUGUCUUUCCAUGUAUAUGCAGGUAGAUUUUAUCUGUGGAAUAUCCCAACAAGAUUUCAGCUUCUGCUGUGUUUCUCUCCAGGAAAUACCUCACAUGUUAAAAUCUUAAAUCUUAUUUACCCUUCUCUGAUUGCAUUCACACACAGGAGAAGCACACGGACAUCUCAAGGCAAUUAAAACACUCAGGUUUUAAUGAACAGUCUUCAGCUCAUCAAUUGAAAAUAUGUCAGUAUGCAGGACAAUUCUGCUUUUCUCAAUUUACAAUGUUAGCCAGAAUUUUCUGUAUCACAUUGUCUCCUCUGUACUCUUUGUGCUUUCCCUCAAAUCUAGCAACCUUCUAGGUUAGCCCAUAUAAACUUUUGCACUUGUGCCACUAAUAUUAGGAAGGAGGUAAUAAGAACACAACCAAAGGUCCCUUGAAUAGGACUUCUUAAAGUCAGGCACAACUUCAUUAAAAAUAUGAAUACAUGCAGAAGCUCUUUUUUUUUUUUUUUUAAUCUGGUAUAUCACUCUGUGCCCAAAAGAAUUAUUGUGUCUCUAAAGUAAUAAAAUUCCCAAACAUGAUUUUAAAAUAAAUGAGUUCCUACUAAGGAAUUAGUACAUGUAAAAGGUAGAAGGAACCAGAGGAGAGGUGCAUAAUAAGACCAAAAAAACAAGUAAGCAUAUAUAUUUUUAACAUUAGAUAGGCUGAACAAACUGCAUAAAAUUGAUAAAUAAUAGUAGAAAAGCAGAAAUUUACCUAUUCAUAGUCAAACCUAUGAAUUUCAUUGGACAUUAUGCUGGAAUUCUGUACAGCAAAUAUGAGACUAGAAUUUGAACCUUGCAGACGUAAUUCUCUAUUUCAACGUGAGAAGUAUACCAGAGUAUACAGGUAAUUUGAGAUUUCUAAGUAGAACUGAUCCCAAGAACAGCUUUAUCAGCAGUGCUUGCUGCAGAAAUAAAUGUAACAGUAUAGGAUUUUCAGUCUGGGAGCAGUUUGAACAUUAUAGGACUUAGAUACAGCAUCAGUUUGCCUAUAGUCCAGUUUAUAACACAACUUUAUGCACCAGAACCCUUCUGCAGUGCAGAGCUACCUCUUGUAGCAUGUUGCAGUACAAUUUACCAAAAAGCCCUACAAAGUUAAUAGCAUUCAAUAUAAGAUACUAAGGAUAGCAGCUGCUCUUGAGGUGAAAAGAACUUUUCAAGGCUAAGCAGAAUACUUCUAUCUACAGUCUAAAACUAAAUUGAAAGCAAGCGUUUACAACUCUCUUUUUUCUAAGCACGCAAGAAAAUUAUUUUUUUUUUCCUUUGAAUGAGAAUAGAACUAUGGAUUUUGCUUUCAGUUUUCUGAACAAAUAUUGGAUAGUCUGUUAAAAAGAGUGAGUUUGGCUAUAGUAGUAAAGGCUUUCUUGCAGCAACAAUGCGGGACACUUGUUAUCAACAGCAACUGUGAAGAUCAGGAGAUAACAAACAAAGAAGUCUCAGACAUAAGAAGGAAAAAAAAAAUUCCAAAACCAAAAUGAUUUCAAGAAUCUAGAAGGCAUCAUUCAAGGAUUCAAGAGAAAAUACAGACAAGUUUGAGCUCCUAAAGGAAAAAAAAAAAAAAAAGUUUUCUCUGGGUAAUUGUUAUAUUUAUAUACCUACUAUAUAUAUAUAUAUAUUAUAUAUAUAUAAAAGAAUAUUAUAAGGCUCAACUUAACUCCACAUUUCUUAAGGACUCAUGCCAUUGCACAUUGUGAGAAACUGAACUUUGUUCUAAAUGUCCCCUGAGAUGCCCAUCACUUCAAGUCCCUCAAAGAGUAAUUCAGAAGCCCAGUGAAGCUGGCCUCAUCUCUCGUGUGACUAGUAAUAGGACUAGAGGGAAUGGCUUCAAGCUGCACCAGGGAAGGUGCAGGCUGGACAUUAGGAAAUACUACUUCUCUGAAAGAGUGGUCAGGCACUGGAAUGGGCUGCCCCGGGAGGUGGUGGAGUCACCAAACCUGGAGGUGCUCAAGGAACAUUUGGACAUUAUGUUGAGAGACAUGGUUUAGUGAGAAAUGGUGGUGGUGGGUGGAUGGUUGUACUGAGUGAUCCUGAGGGUCUUUUCCAACCUUGCUGAUUUUCUGAUUCUAUGAUUCUGUGAUUGUUAAAUAAACACUGGAUUUU